UGGGAAUUUGGACAAUGGGCGAAGCCUGAUCCAGCAAUGCCGCGUGUGUGAAGAAGGCCUUCGGGUUGUAAAGCACUUUUGUCCGGAAAGAAAUCCUUGGCUCUAAUACAGUCGGGGGAUGACGGUACCGGAAGAAUAAGCACCGGCUAACUACGUGCCAGCAGCCGCGGUAAUACGUAGGGUGCAAGCGUUAAUCGGAAUUACUGGGCGUAAAGCGUGCGCAGGCGGUUUGCUAAGACCGAUGUGAAAUCCCCGGGCUCAACCUGGGAACUGCAUUGGUGACUGGCAGGCUAGAGUAUGGCAGAGGGGGGUAGAAUUCCACGUGUAGCAGUGAAAUGCGUAGAGAUGUGGAGGAAUACCGAUGGCGAAGGCAGCCCCCUGGGCAAUACUGACGCUCAUGCACGAAAGCGUGGGGAGCAAAC
RNAcentral lists this ribosomal RNA (422 nucleotides) under uncultured bacterium. Its description in RNAcentral is "partial 16S ribosomal RNA". It matches the Rfam family "Bacterial small subunit ribosomal RNA", at positions 357 to 773 of the family's 1533-position model. The record is from RNAcentral.